AGUGAACGCUGGCGGUAGGCCUAACACAUGCAAGUCGAACGGCAGCACAGUAAGAGCUUGCUCUUACGGGUGGCGAGUGGCGGACGGGUGAGGAAUACAUCGGAAUCUACUUUUUCGUGGGGGAUAACGUAGGGAAACUUACGCUAAUACCGCAUACGACCUACGGGUGAAAGCAGGGGAUCUUCGGACCUUGCGCGAUUGAAUGAGCCGAUGUCGGAUUAGCUAGUUGGCGGGGUAAAGGCCCACCAAGGCGACGAUCCGUAGCUGGUCUGAGAGGAUGAUCAGCCACACUGGAACUGAGACACGGUCCAGACUCCUACGGGAGGCAGCAGUGGGGAAUAUUGGACAAGGGGCGCAAGCCUGAUCCAGCCAUACCGCGUGGGUGAAGAAGGCCGUCGGGUUGGAAAGCCCUUUUGUUGGGAAAGAAAAGCAGCAGGUUAAUACCCCGCUGUUCUGACGGUACCCAAAGAAUAAGCACCGGCUAACUUCG
Molecule: ribosomal RNA, 490 nt
Filed under: uncultured bacterium
Lineage: Bacteria
Description: partial 16S ribosomal RNA
Rfam family: Bacterial small subunit ribosomal RNA
Source: RNAcentral